RNAcentral lists this long non-coding RNA (249 nucleotides) under Helianthus annuus (common sunflower). RNAcentral describes it as "sRNA HanXRQr2_Chr10g0420221". The stretch from base 1 to 89 matches the Rfam family "Small nucleolar RNA R11/Z151". Lineage: Eukaryota; Viridiplantae; Streptophyta; Magnoliopsida; Asterales; Asteraceae. The record is from RNAcentral.
GAGCUAAUGAUGAGAAAUACAAUUAUCUUAGCGGAUUUCGGUGAGAUUUCUUUGAAUCAAUGAUCUGAUUGUUACACACACUGAAGCUCUUAAUAAUUUUUUUUUUAAAUUAAAUGGGAUGUAAAUAAUAAUAAUAAUAGCAGUGAUGAGGUAAAACACAUGAGGAUGUGUUUAGGGAAGUGGACAAGACGAUUAAAACCGUUUUGCCGUGAUCCCCAUUUUAAACGACUUCUCCUUCCACUGAGCUUU